CACUCCUACGGGAGGCAGCAGUGGGGAAUUUUGGACAAUGGGCGAAAGCCUGAUCCAGCAAUGCCGCGUGAGUGAAGAAGGCCUUCGGGUUGUAAAGCUCUUUUGUCAGGGAAGAAACGGUGAAAGCUAAUAUCUUUUGCUAAUGACGGUACCUGAAGAAUAAGCACCGGCUAACUACGUGCCAGCAGCCGCGGUAAUACGUAGGGUGCAAGCGUUAAUCGGAAUUACUGGGCGUAAAGCGUGCGCAGGCGGUUUUGUAAGUCUGAUGUGAAAUCCCCGGGCUCAACCUGGGAAUUGCAUUGGAGACUGCAAGGCUAGAAUCUGGCAGAGGAGGGUAGAAUUCCACGUGGAGCAGUGAAAUGCGUAGAUAUGUGGAGGAACACCGAUGGCGAAGGCAGCCCCCUGGGUCAAGAUUGACGCUCAUGCACGAAAGCGUGGGGAGCAAACAGGAUUAGAAACCCCAGUAGUCCC
Molecule: ribosomal RNA, 471 nt
Filed under: uncultured organism
Description: partial 16S ribosomal RNA
Rfam family: Bacterial small subunit ribosomal RNA
Source: RNAcentral